RNAcentral lists this long non-coding RNA (521 nucleotides) under Homo sapiens (human). RNAcentral describes it as "MIR193b-365a host gene". Lineage: Eukaryota; Metazoa; Chordata; Mammalia; Primates; Hominidae. The record is from RNAcentral.
AGGGAAGGCAUCGAGCUUGAGGAAGAGGCCCCAUUCAUCUCCGUACCCCAGGCCCUGGUACACAGCAGAGAUGGGUUUCACCAUGGUGAUCAGGAUGGUCUCGAACUCCUGACCUCAAGUGAUCCACCCACCUUGGCCUCCCAAAGUGCUGGGAUUACAGGCCUCCAGGCGGGCACGCAUCUUUGUUGUGUUCUCUGCUGACUAUAUCCUCAGCACCUAGAACUGUGUCUGUCACCUAAUAGAUGCUCAAUAAACCUGCCAGUAAUUUCAGCAAAUGAAACGUGGAACACGUCAAGGCCAGAGGAUGGAAAAGGCUCCAGUUUUGAUAAAAGGAGGCCUGCUUGGCUUGGAAUCCUCUCUCCUGCUGGUUGGGAGAUGCAAAGAUGUUUCCAGAGAGGGGCUGAUGAAUUGAGGGGAAAGAAAUGAGCCCAGUAUGAGUCCCCUUUCAGGGCUGAGCGUGUAUAAAACCAAACAACUUGGAACCGCUCCAAGAGAGGGGAUUAAAGCAACAUGUUAUUCUG